Long non-coding RNA from Zonotrichia leucophrys gambelii, 1511 nucleotides. RefSeq lists it as uncharacterized. The record is from RefSeq and is a predicted model, not a curated record. Lineage: Eukaryota; Metazoa; Chordata; Aves; Passeriformes; Passerellidae. The transcript is spliced from 3 exons.
GUUGAGAAGAGUUAGACUUUUUGGUUGUGCUGUGAAAGACAGGGAGUCAGUGCUGCAAGGAGGUGUCCAUGAGAAAUCACUGAGCAGUCUCUAGAGAGGACCUGCACUGCCUGUUACCAGCCUUGAAGACUUUGUUCAGGAUCUGCACAGCCCACUGGAGAUCGCGUGGAGAUAUUGCUUGCUGCUGGGUGAUCUCCUGAUCUCCUCAUGGUAUCUGAGCACAGCUUUGAUAUAAUUGGAAAUCUGCCCCUGCACAGUCCCCUCCAGAUGGAGGCAAAGAAAAAGAUAUAAAGAGAUGGUGGUGUGACUGACCAACACCAUGCUGCUGUGGAAAACUGCUCGGACAAGGUGGGUGCAGGCAAUUGGUUCAUGUAGCUCAGGGAAGAAAGGAGUGACAACAGCUAUUUCAAAGAAAGCUGAUUUUAGGUCAGCACAAGGAGGACUGGACCAUGGGCUUUGGUUUAGAUCAGCUGUCUGCGCCUGUUGAGAGGAUCAGCUGGUUGUGUAAUUGAUUAUUUUAUUUAUUUCUCAAGCUAAUGAGGAAUGUGAGUGUUUUCCUGAGCUAGCCUGACUGGCAUGGAGGAAGGGUGCAGGUUGCUCAGUAGAGUAUAAAAAUUCAGGCAACAAAAUGAACUUAGAUAGAAACAGGCUUGGGCUGGAUUCAAUAUAAAUAUUCCCUCCUGGUGACUGGGGAUACCCAGUGCCAUGAUAACAAACACAUAAGGACCAGUAAUAGGAAUCAUAUUUGCAUUGUGAUCCUACUAUAUGUUGAAUUGCUAUGUUCUGCUUGUAUUGUGAUUUCACUGCUCUGUCAUAUCCCUCUGCUAAAUCAAAAUCCAGUGUAGCAUGAAAUAUCUUCAAAUAAGUAAGUUUAGCAUUAAACAUUAAACCCUUCUCAUGUGAAAUGUCUAAGAGAAGCUGCUCAGAGAGUAAUGAAUUCUGACAGGGAAUACAGGAUAUAAAGGGAUUUUAUUUUCAAAGUCAAUUUUUCAGCUCCUAUUGACACAUAUCAGGAUAAGGGAAGGGAGGGGGAGUCAGGGAAAUUGCCAGUGUGUUAUGUCCAGCUGUUAUUUCUUAAUGUGACUUCAUGUUGAAUUUAAUCUUACACAAAAAGCAUUUUUUAUUCAAGCAAAAGAAUAGUUCUCUAAAAAUAAAUUGGGUUUCUGAUAAUUGAGGAUCAGCUUCUUUCUAUAUAAACAUGCUUAAUUUGCCACUAGGUGCCCCCACAACCAUAGAAAUGUUAAUUGUACAAAACUGAUACAAUAAAAAAUGUUUUGAAGAAAGUGUAGGCUGUUAGAAGUGUCUGACAAGUAUUAUUUUGCUGUACCCUCUAUCAUGGAUCUGAUAAUAUAAUAAAAUUGUUGGGUUUUACAUGUCAUAUAGCUUUAAAGUGUUUUUUAAAUGCAGUUAUGCUAAGUGUUCCUUCCCUAUCCCCCAUUCUACAUCUUGAAAUAAUCCAUUAUCACCAUAUUUCCAUUUUUUUUCCAAAUAAAAAUGGAGUAGUGUGUGUA